This 253-nucleotide ribosomal RNA is filed under the name uncultured bacterium. Its description in RNAcentral is "partial 16S ribosomal RNA". It matches the Rfam family "Bacterial small subunit ribosomal RNA", at positions 524 to 776 of the family's 1533-position model. The record is from RNAcentral.
UACGGGGGGAGCAAGCGUUGUUCGGAAUUACUGGGCGUAAAGGGCUCGUAGGCGGCCAGCUAAGUCAGACGUGAAAUCCCUCGGCUUAACCGGGGAACUGCGUCCGAUACUGGCAGGCUUGAAUCCGGGAGAGGGAUGCGGAAUUCCAGGUGUAGCGGUGAAAUGCGUAGAUAUCUGGAGGAACACCGGUGGCGAAGGCGGCAUCCUGGACCGGCAUUGACGCUGAGGCGCGAAAGCCAGGGGAGCAAACGGG